GGCCCCAUAGCAUAAUGGAUAGUGCGUCCGGUUUCGGCCCGGAUGGUUUGGGUUCGACUCCCAAUGGGGUCA
RNAcentral lists this transfer RNA (72 nucleotides) under Candidatus Woesearchaeota archaeon. RNAcentral describes it as "tRNA-Arg". It matches the Rfam family "tRNA". Rfam says of the family: Transfer RNA (tRNA) molecules are approximately 80 nucleotides in length. The record is from RNAcentral. Lineage: Archaea; Nanobdellati; Candidatus Woesearchaeota.